This is an RNA transcript of Folsomia candida, 3633 nucleotides long. RefSeq lists it as uncharacterized. The transcript has 8 exons. NCBI's taxonomy places the organism in Eukaryota, Metazoa, Arthropoda, Collembola, Entomobryomorpha, Isotomidae. The record is from RefSeq and is a predicted model, not a curated record.
ACAGAAUUUUGGCAUUUUGCAGGUAAAGUUUGGCACACCACGACCGUUUUCUGGACCAAAUUUGUUAUUUUGAAUGGAUUAUAAAAUCUCUAAAAUUUGUAGAUUUUGGGGCAGGUUGAACCAGAAUUUCUAAAAUUAAACAUAUUAGAAAAACUAAAUACAAAACCAUAAGUUAUGGUUUUGUAUCCGCUGGGAAAUGAAAUAAUCAAAUGCUUAUUUCUGAAAGCCAAGUAACCUUUAUAGAUAUUGGAUAACAUAUUCUCCCAUAUGGAUUUUGGCACACUGAAGACGUCUGUCCGUCGUGUUUGCACCGUUUGGGCCCGCAUAAGCACCCCCAUUCUUGGACGGAAAGCCCUCGUCACCUUUUCCGAGUCUAAGGGCAUGACCAUCUUCAACCCUAAGCUAGCAACGAAUACUGCCAUAUGCUUGGAUUCCAAUUGUGGUUGUAUGCACAUUUGUAGAUGUAGAUCCGAAAUAGGGUCAACACCUUUCAGGAGCAUCGUUACUGAAAUUGUAAACCUUUUGACUGAAUUACACCUCUCGGCCGGAAGUAAAUUCGAAGCGGUCCAGGAACGGAGGAGCAGAAGAAUGAUGGAUAACUCGUGGAACCGUUUUUCCAUUCUGGUUGACAGCUGGGAAGACCACGUCGCGUUUAAAGGGCCAAAAUUUCGAAGCCUUCCAAAUCUGAGAGUGCUUCGCUUUAUCUUAGGCGGUGCAAGGGAUCAGCACUCUCCGCCUGCCCGCUCGAGGGCCAUUCUACAAGGGUUGCUCAACUCUGCACCCAAAGUAGAAGAGCUAACGAUAUCUUUGUUUGGACAAAGUCCAGAUUGGGAAUUAUCUAGCACAAGGGUGAAGAUUUUGAAGUACAGCGUGUGGUUUCACCCUAUCGAACCCUCAGAUUAUCCUAUUUCUCCACCGUACACACCGUUUUUCCACUCAGAGGUGUUCGAGAGAUUUGCGGAGUCUUUGGAAAAGCUAGAAUUGGGUCCUCAAGGUUAUGCUAAGACUAUAGACGUUUCCUUCCCGAUCGUUACCCAUCUUACGAUCCACGAUGCCGAUAACAAUUAUCUGGAGAACUUUCUUGACCUUCCUCACCUACCGAAACUGACUCAUUUGUCGGUACGCCAUUACCGAAUUUCCAAACUGUUUAGAACUAGACAGCGGGGCCACGCACACGUGACGUCACUUGAACUGGUGACGGGCACCUAUUGUUACCAGGAGGAUGUGCAAGCUGCAUCUAACAUUGUGCGCCUCUUCCCAUCCGUAACCGAGUUUAAGAUGAAAUUGAAAUUAGAACCUUAAACGGAGGUUUUCACAGCAUUUUUGGGUGAAACGAUCGGUGCCUUCCGUAGCUGGGUUUUGACGAAGGGGCAGGUCGUGGUUCAAGGCAUGUCUGCGGAGGCCGUAUCCGCCAUUUUGGAAGGGCUAGAGGAAUGGCAAGGUUUGAAAAGCACGUCACUUUGGUUUAGCAAAUCACUAGAAUUUGAAGAUUUUGAAUUGACUAACCGUGUAAACGCAGCCCUCGUGGCAUGCAGUUCGAUUCGACGUAUUGAUGUGUCAGGGUGCUCGGCGCGUGGUUAAGCUAAACCGUUUACAAGAUUUUCGAGGAGUCACAUAUUCAAGUAAGGACAUUAAAGCAACCCUCGCUCAUUUUCUAUUUAUAGAUUUUAUAGCGAAUGCAUGCAACUUUUAGCAUGCAAAUUUUAUGCAUCCAUUUUUUGCAUGCAAGCUUUUUUUGCAUGGAGUUUUGCGAUGCUGGGGGCUGACCCCCCCAGGGGUUGCAGAUAACCCCAGCGCAGUGACCGCGGCGCCGUGACCUUUGACCUGUCAAGCGUAUUUAUUAUAAUAUGAGCGUUACAUGGUGAGUAUGUAUGUCAAGAUGAAAAAACCACACAUUGAUAUUUAACUACAAUGAUGAAAUGUGCAUAAUAAUGUUAAGUUUCACAGUUUAAUAGCUUAAUUAAAUGUACAUGGCUCGCAGAAGCUGGCCAACUUCAUUUGACAUUCCAAGCGAAUUACGUCCAGUUUUAUUCUAAAGAAAUUUACUUUAAGAUAUUUAUUAUUCCACAUACAAUGAAUUGAUUAUUGCUUAGUUUUAUUGAUACACACAAAGUGACAAUGAAUUUGCUUAUAUUAAUUUGUGUUGUGCUGCAGACCGUAAAUUCGUAUGCGGAAUGUUAUCGUCAUGAUAGUUGUGUGCAAUGCAUUCAAAUUGUGGGUUGCGUUUACGGAGUAACAAGUUCAAGUGCUCGGAAAUGUUUUCAUCGUGACGAGAUUUCGGUUGGAAUUUUGGCAACCUUUCGAAAUCCGACUGCAUGUAAAAGAAUUUACAGGUUUGCAACCACCCAGACGAGUGCAUUUGAUAACCAUUCUAAAAGUGGAAACAAUAUCAUUGUUAAAGAAGAGAUAAUGCACAAUGUUUUAACAGAGCGGGUUUCAACCUCCACCACAACUGAAAAUCAAUUGUAUACUUCAACAUUACCUACUUUCACGACUUUGCCAACGACCAAAAUAGUGACGACCAAUUUUUAUUUGCCGGAAACCUUACAUCCCACACAACCAAGUGUUGAUCCCGAGCAAGACAAUUCAGAGACCACAACGGAGACAAUAAUAAACACUGCUGUCGCCGAAAAACUGGCAAUCGAGACUACAAUCCUACCAAUGGUGGAAUCAACUACGCAUUUCUCUGAGCUAAUUCAUCGGCCCACUGAUCCAUUCCUGUUGCUGAAUACGAGCAUCACAAUUGGGGAAACCAAUAAUACUGCGAAUUGGAAUAAUGGUUCCAACCAUAGUGGAAGUUUCAACUCUUCCGUCCCGACAACUACCAAUUUAACGAUUUCGACUUUUCCAGUUGUAGCAGCAAGAAAACGGAAAAUGUGGAGCACCUAUGACAAAAUUGGAUUAUAUGCAUGCAGAAUUACUAAAUUACUUAAGAAGAAUAAUUUCUUUCAUGAUCGAGAUCUUUCUACUAUUAAUAAUAUCAUAUCGAGGAAAUUUGAUUAUGUAUUGAAUUCGGAAUUAUUCCGAAUGAGAUGCUGACGGUUCAGCCUCUGACCUCGUCAGUUGUGUCUGAAGCAAUAAAGGAGGCACAGGAAGCCGCAGUCCAAGCAGCAGUCCAAGCAUCCCCCCCCCACAAACGCCCCCGCCAGUAAACGAACGAAAAAUUAAAAAAAGUAGUAAUUUAGUGGUGAUUUUAUCGAAAUGAGUCAUUUGUAGAGUUCAUAUAUACAUGUAGAAUUUAGUAGUGAUUUUAGUAGUGAUUUCUAAUCAUUUUAAGUUGAUGAUUGAAAAUAAAAACAAAUGAUUUGAUGGAAAUGAGCAAAUAAAAAAAUAAAUCGAAAAAAUUUCAUGCAUUUAUUGUAAUAAAAUUAUCAUAAUUAUUUAUUGCUAGAACUUCCUCUAAAUCCAACACUCUGCAAAUGCAUUUGCUUAAUUAACCUGUUGCAUAUAUAUUUAAAUGUUUUUGGCAUAAAAUAUUGACUUUCCGCUGAGUAACGAAUCACAUAAUACAUAAUCAAAUUUCCUCGAUAUGAUAUUAUUAAUAGUAGAAAGAUCUCGAUCAUGAAAGAAAUUAUUCUUCUUAAGUAAUUUAGUAAUUCUGCAUGCAUAUAAUCCAAUUUUGUCAUAGGUGCU